This 78-nucleotide transfer RNA is filed under the name Scleropages formosus (Asian bonytongue). RNAcentral's name for it is "tRNA-Pro". Lineage: Eukaryota; Metazoa; Chordata; Actinopteri; Osteoglossiformes; Osteoglossidae. The record is from RNAcentral.
UACAGCUUGUAGUGUAGUGGUCAAAACUAUUGCCUUGGACCCAAAAGUUGCAGGUUGGAUUCCCACCUUCAGCUGUAG